RNAcentral lists this ribosomal RNA (460 nucleotides) under uncultured bacterium. RNAcentral describes it as "partial 16S ribosomal RNA". It matches the Rfam family "Bacterial small subunit ribosomal RNA", at positions 338 to 795 of the family's 1533-position model. The record is from RNAcentral.
CCUACGGGCGGCUGCAGUGAGGAAUAUUGGUCAAUGGACGCGAGUCUGAACCAGCCAUGCCGCGUGCAGGAUGACGGCUCUAUGAGUUGUAAACUGCUUUUGUACGAGAGUAAACCCCGAUACGUGUAUCGGGUUGAAAGUAUCAUACGAAUAAGGAUCGGCUAACUCCGUGCCAGCAGCCGCGGUAAUACGGAGGAUCCGAGCGUUAUCCGGAUUUAUUGGGUUUAAAGGGUGCGUAGGCGGUUUGAUAAGUUAGAGGUGAAAUUUCGGGGCUCAACCCCGAAACUGCCGUUAAUACUGUCGGACUAGAGUACAGUUGCGGUAGGCGGAAUGCAUGGUGUAGCGGUGAAAUGCUUAGAGAUCAUACAGAACACCGAUUGCGAAGGCAGCUUACCAAACUACAUCUGACGUUGAGGCACGAAAGCGUGGGUAGCAAACAGGAUUAGAUACCCGAGUAGUC